CCUGUAGCUCAGUGGAUUAGAGCGGCUGACUUCGGAUCAGCGGGUCGUAGGUUCGAAUCCUACCAG
RNAcentral lists this transfer RNA (66 nucleotides) under marine eukaryotic metagenome. It matches the Rfam family "tRNA", at positions 5 to 66 of the family's 71-position model. From Rfam's summary of the family: Transfer RNA (tRNA) molecules are approximately 80 nucleotides in length. The record is from RNAcentral.